Molecule: long non-coding RNA, 363 nt
Organism: Leptidea sinapis
Lineage: Eukaryota; Metazoa; Arthropoda; Insecta; Lepidoptera; Pieridae
Exons: 3
Source: RefSeq, a predicted model, not a curated record
UGUGUUGCUGCUGACGAUAGAACGUAAUAGUGCUAGUCCUUCUAAUUAAUACUUUCCGUUGCCUUCGCAGUACUCGCUGACGCGGGUCCUCAUCAUAUAGUUAUAUACAAGGACUCAACAUCACGCUGUUAAUGGUAUCUACUGUCGAUGUCAUGGUUGGUAACGCAGAAAUAGACUAGAUGUCAAGACACUACAUGAAACAUAAACUUAAAGAAAGGAGGAAGACCGGCCAGUAAGGAAAUCGUUAUACGACAUGAGGAGUGUGGCGAGUGACAGAUUGUAAAUUAGUGAACCGCGCGAUGAGAGUGUGUCGAUCCCACAACAUAACAUGACACAGCAUUUGUAUAUUUUGAUGAAUAUAUC